Molecule: long non-coding RNA, 1080 nt
Organism: Mauremys mutica (yellowpond turtle)
Lineage: Eukaryota; Metazoa; Chordata; Testudines; Geoemydidae
Exons: 3
Source: RefSeq, a predicted model, not a curated record
CAACCCCAGAGUCCUAAGAUGUUAUUUGAAGGAGGCCAUAAACCGUGAAUGGGUGUUGGAAGGACUGAAAGAGGGGGGUGGAUUUGAGUGAGGAAACCUGGUGCUCCCUAAUGAAAGGCAAAGUUUAAACCUGAAAGGCCCUACCCUAAGCUUCUACCUCAAGAGGAAGAGAGAGAGAGACACACCACCACCUUAACAUAUCCUGCUUCAGGGAAAAUAAAUCUUCAUUGCUGUUCUGAUCUGGGGUAAGGAAGGCACCAUUGCUAGCUUCAUCUCUGAGCAUCCACAGUACAUACAGAGACAUCUCCAGACUGGCACAGCUGAUGAUAUCCCUUCCCAGGACAAGGAACAUUACACUAAAGUCCAUUCAUAGCUGAGGGAGGUGGAACAGAACCAAAGAACUUUGGCUUCCAUCCAGAAGGCCAUAAGAAACAAAAGUCCCCACUUCACAAUCAGAUCCAUGUGUCUAUGCAGAGACCUAUAAGAGAAAAUAACACCUUAAUAGGAAAUGUGGGAUACAUAUAGGACAGGACACAUGACAUUCUAUAAAAGAACCUCUUGGGAAUGCAGAUUGUGUCCCUCCAUGUAGCCAAGGAGAAGCACCAGUACCUCUGUACUGAACAUAUGGCAUAUAUCUAUAACAAGGGGCCAUCCAAGAGCUUCUCCACUGAACAUAUCACAUGACCACUGUACAUCCAAAGAGCCAGAGUAGUGACCGUUCCCUGGAUAUGUGGAUGCUGAUUCAUCCAGAGCACAACAGAACCUCCAGAUAGACUAUACACUCCUGUAAAAGCCACGAGUGUCCCUCCACAAAGCACAUCGCAUCCAUCCACCUAACCACAGACCCACAGCAUAAUAAAUAUCCUGAGCACCACCCCACUGGACCUAAUGUAAGAAAUACCCAGAGGAGCUCCAUGUAGGGCUGCCACUUCACAGGACCUGUUGGCAACUAGAGUGUACAUUCAGCAUACUAUACAACUCCUGAGGGUAUUCUGCACCCAAAAAUUUAUAAGUCUUGCAGAAUUUUAAACUAUUGUGCACAAGUUUAUUUGUCAAAUAAAUGUGGAGGCUCCAGCAUGG